This 433-nucleotide ribosomal RNA is filed under the name uncultured bacterium. Its description in RNAcentral is "partial 16S ribosomal RNA". It matches the Rfam family "Bacterial small subunit ribosomal RNA", at positions 29 to 507 of the family's 1533-position model. The record is from RNAcentral.
AACGAACGCUGGCGGCAUGCCUAACACAUGCAAGUCGAACGAGACCUUCGGGUCUAGUGGCGCACGGGUGCGUAACGCGUGGGAACCUGCCCUUAGGUUCGGAAUAACUCCCCGAAAGGGGUGCUAAUACCGGAUAAUGUCUUCGGACCAAAGAUUUAUCGCCUUUGGAUGGGCCCGCGUUGGAUUUGCUAGUUGGUAGGGUAAAAGCCUACCAAGGCGACGAUCCAUAGCUGGUCUGAGAGGAUGAUCAGCCACACUGGGACUGAGACACGGCCCAGACUCCUACGGGAAGCAGCAGUGGGGAAUAUUGGACAAUGGGCGAAAGCCUGAUCCAGCAAUGCCGCGUGAGUGAUGAAGGCCUUAGGGUUGUAAAGCUCUUUUACCCGGGAUGAUAAUGACAGUACCGGGAGAAUAAGCUCCGGCUAACUCCGUG